GUGUUAGAGGCGAAGAAAAAAUGUUAUCCACCCAAAGAUGACAUCACGAUUACUGAGAGUAAAACUGUGGUCAAACUUCAAGCACUGUUAGACCAUACAGCGAGUCGCAUUUUAGCAGUGCAAAGUGAAGUUUUGCAUCUCCUCCCAUCCAGCGAAAUUUAUAAAUUUAAUUUUGUCUGCAAAUGGGGAUACGACGGAACAUCUGGGCAAAGUACAUUCAAACAAAAAUUUGAUAAGGACGACGGAGAUAAAACAGACGCAACUAUUUUCUUCACUUCCCUCGUGCCACUGCAGCUCGUGUUUGUUGACGGGGGUGAUAACGAAGGAAUAAUCGUGUGAAAAAAUCCGCGACCCUCCUCCCCUCGAUUCUGUAGGCCAAUAAAAAUCAAGUUUUCGAAAGAGACUGCAGAAGGCACCCGAAAUGAAGUUCAAAACAUCAAGGAACAAGAAGAGCAGCUCCAACCUUUUCAUACGAUUGUGAACGGAAAAGAAGUCACUGUAUCCUACAAAUUGGCCUUAACAAUGGUUGACGGAAAAGUCUGCAAUUCACUAACAUCUACUGCAUCAAGUCAACGAUGUUAUCUUUGCGGUGCUACAUCCAAAGAAUUCAACGACAUCGAAAACAUUUUGAAGGGGAAAAUAAAUGAAGAUCAUUUACAAUAUGGAAUAUCAUCACUGCACGCGUGGAUUCGUUUUUUCGAGUGCUUUAUACAUAUUUCAUACAGAUUACAAAUCGAAAAAUGGCAGCCCGAUAAGAAAAGCAUCGAAAGUCGGAAAAAGACCAUCCAAAAAGGUUUCCGUGAGAACGAUUGGGAAUUUUGAUUGAUCAACCAAAACAAGGAUAUGGCAGCACGAAUGACGGUAAUACUGCUGAUCGUUUCUUUAAAAAUUCCGAUGUUUCCGUAUCUCUAACGGGAAUAGAUGAGGAUCUAAUCAAAAGAUUCCACGUGAUUUUGCAAAUAAUAUCGUGCGGGUUUGAAAUAAAUGUUGACGAAUUUCAAUUUUCAAAAUUACGCUGUAGAAACAGCCCAUAGAUACGUGCUACUAUAUCCUUGGUAUUACAUGCCGACUACUGUGUACAAACUUUUAAUUCACGGCGCAAAAAUAAUAGGGUUAUCCAUGUUGCCGAUAGGACAGAUAUCCGAGGAAGCCCAGGAAUCUUGCAAUAAAUACAUAAAAUCAUUUAGAUUUAGAUUUAGUAGGGAACAAAAUAUGGAGGAUGUAUUUGCGCGGCUUUUGAUUGCAUCUGACCCUGUUAUCUCAAGUUUGCAUAAACUAUCAGCUAAGUCAAGCAAAUCAUUAUCGCGUGAAGCCAUGGCUUUGUUGGAAUCGCCAACUGCAAACAAACCAAGAGUUUCCCAUUCUACUAUAUUUUACACAUGUACGUAAAAAUAAAUUAUUUCUAUUCAAAACCCUCCCGCACCAAAUUCCAUGAGAAUUGAUUCAAGUUUCAAUAAAAUUUACCGUCAUUUUUGGGCGAUCAUUUUGUUUUUUGGAAGUUUGUCUUCAAAUUCGUGUUUAGCGCCCUCAAAAACCCCUCGUAAUAAUUCUGAUGGCGAUUCGAUAAUACCUUCGAUUUUUGGCCAGCGAUUCGGGAUUUGGAACCACGGCGUCCACCGGACACUUUGACAAAUUGGAUAAAAUGUAUCUUCGUUAUUAACGUUAUAACCAUAUGAUAUUCCGGUGUUAUUAUCAUCAGCAUUGUUAUUAUCUUUGUUAUCAUGAUUGCUACCUAAUAGAACCCAUCAGUAUCCCCGUAUGAACCUAUAAUAAUCUUUUUAAUUCCCUGAAAUUGAGAACAUCAGCUCCUCGUGUAGCAUUAUAAUAGCACUGCGUCACGUAAAUUUCUCUGACGAAUUUUUUUAUAGUAUCAAGAAAGUCCACGGUAAUGAGGGUAAAGUCCCUUGUUGAUUGCUUGUGGAAAUCGAUGAGGACGUCGUCUGAUAAGAAAUUGUUAAAUCCAUUUUUUAAAAUAAAAUAGGGGCUGCUUGGCUGGAAGGACCCGCAUACAUACACGCCGCGACAUUUUAGCUUAGGAGAUGACACCCGCGGUUCUUCUGAUAUUGGGAUUCCCUGUUCACGACUAACAAAUUAUUAAAACGAUUACGCUCCGGAGAAAAGAUUCAUGGUAUCGAAGAAGCGAUCACAGGCUUACAGACCCUAUAACGAUGGAAGGAACACUAAUGGUCAAUCCUGCUGACAAUGAGCUUUUGAGGACGAUCCCACAAAAUUAUGGUAACUAUCCAAACGAAAGAGCUGAUUCCAACUAUUAUCAUCGUCUCAAUUUGUAAUCUUAUUUAUUUAAUCCGAAUCCUAACUAUUAACGACCGUGACGAGUCGAAAACUUCAGGUUCACAUACGUAAUGAAAAAAUGUAUCUAACUGGUAGCAGGUAAAUAAAAGUUGCGUGAACCUAAAUCAAAUCGCGCAAUGUUUACAUGCUCCACUUAUGAACACGGUUUGUGUACAUACGUGUUAUGCAGAAUUCGCGGUUUCCGAAAUGCGGUGGUUCAAACAAUUUUAGACUGACUACAAAUUCCGUAUCUCCAGAAAUGACGUGGGUAAACGAAUUCAAGUAUAGGUCCGAUCAUUUCACUAGUAGGUGCGAGGGCGACAAAAAAGCGAGUGUGGGUACACCUACGCAGCGGACGAGUAUCGUCUACUAUUUUUCCUACCAUCGUGCGCAAAGUUCGAUUUUGCGCACGAUGGUAGGAAAACGUAUCUGAAUCGAGUCCUAGACUAAUAAUAGAAAGCCAGAUAUUGUUCGAGAAAAAAACAUGUUUAUCGAUGCCUUUAUUUAUGAAAUUCAUGUUGCGAUUGUUCAUACAAAGUUGAACGCAAUUUUUCAAUCUUACUGCAGUAAAUUAUUGGCGAGACACUAUUUAUUAAAUUUCUCAUAAUGCAUCCAUCAAUUUUAAAGUCAAUCUCAAGAAAAAUUGAAUAAAUAAUUGAGAAAAAUGGACCAAAUAUUAAUAUGAAAAUAUCUGCACGAUCGAACGAAACGAUUUAGGCAACACUUAGUCGGCUACCAUAUGCCACGUCUUAUAUUCUCUUGGGGAAAAUUUUCUGUUUCCUUCACUAUUCGCGAUGAAGAAUGAUUUUCGAUCAUUAUAGCCCUACUGUACAAAUUCAGAAACUUGUUGUGAAAUAUUUCCUUGCGAUUUAAUCGACUUUCUAUAUUCGUGGCAUAUUAGUGGUGUAAUUUUGUUUUCCUACCAUCGUGCGCAAAGUUCGAUUUUGCGCACGCAUUUGCGUUCGCAAAGUACCACUUUCCCGCACGCUAAGAAGAGCGUGCGGGAAUAUAGUUAAGCGUGCGGGAAUAUAGUUAAGCGUGCGAGAAUGUAGCUAAGCGUGCGAGAAAUCGAACUUUGCGCACGAUGGUAGGAAAAAUAGUAGGGGAAACCGGGGCAAGUUGGAGGCUGGGGCAAGAUGACGAAUUGAUUGUUUUUAGAAUAUUUUGACAGAUAGCGCUGGGAGCUGAGUCGUGCUAGCAGAAAAAGUUUGACAAUGACAUCUGAUAAGGCAACGAAGAGUGCUGUCGUUACAGCCUAUGUAAAGAAACUUGCUUGGGAAAAUCUCACGAAGGGCGCUAUUGUUAAUCAUCGCACAUCACAUGGAAUAACUCCUCUUCUUGCGGCGGUAGAACAUGGUGACAUUGACUUGAUCAUACUCAUCUGCACUCACAAUCAGCCUAAAAGCAUAGAUAUAUCUAUGCUAAAAGCCCUAUCAACCUGCAGGAAAAGACUAUACACAUAUCUGAAAUUCUCCAUCUUUUCCAUAACGUUAAAGUUGAUCAUUGGUUUUUCUUUUUUAUUAAUGACAAUAAUUGUCGUUUCAUAUAGGGUCAACCCCCUUGCAUUUGUGGGUUCUGUACGGCCACAGAGUAAUUAUGCUCGGGCUACUACGUCGAGGAGCAUUAGUAAAUUGUUCGGAUACCCUAGGCCGUUAUCCACUGCAUUUUGCAGCAACUCAAAAGGACGUCGGAAGUGCGAGAAUGCUAAUAAGAUUUGGUGAUCGCAUCAAUGUCUACGACGCUUUUUCCGACAGCCCUCUUUCUAUCAGCGUUUUACGUAGGCCUUGCGUAGCAAUGGCGAGGCUCUUUUUAGCUAACCGGUAUUACUCGCUGAAAUUUUAUAAAUACUUUACUGCAUGGGUUCUUUAUUUAUUUAUUCGAUUUUGAAUGAAACAGAGCGUCCUCUGGUCCGCCGCCCGAUUGGUCUUGGUAUGGGCCUUCUUCUAGAAGCGGUUCUGAGUGCGCGUCGCACUUCAAACUUCGAAGCUAUCAAGGUUCUAAUUUGGGCAGGAGAGGGUUGUAAAUAUCGUAGAUCCCAUGGGAUUGAAAACGCCUCUACAUUUAGUCGCGAUUAACGGACAUCUGGAAUUAGCUGAAAGGAGACCCCGCCAAGUGCCACCCACCGAUUUUGAUAAAACUUCGCAGGAUGAAAGAGUAACAAAAAUAAACGGAUACGUGUUUUGGCUUAUCCGUAGACGCUCAACCGUUUUCGAUUUCGAGAAAAUUACGGUUGAAACAUGGAAAAUUUUGACGCCGCUUCAUGAGUCCGCCCGCGCGCUAUCGCCUCAAGCGUGUCGGCGGUGCAGCGGCUAACGCGACAGCUUCGAGAUGUGACGCUCCGCGCUUGAGUCCUGAUCAAAAUUUUUUUUUUUUUUUUUCUCAAAUUCUUCGUCAAAGUAUGCUGCGCGAACGUUCCUUAUUUUAUUGAUAAAUACAAGGACGCUGUAUUUAAAUUACAAUUCAUCAUUUCGAAGCAACUGUCCGUUAUUCUGAAUUAUGCUACGGGGUAGGUUUUCAGGUAGGCUCGCUAGCCGUAGCCAACAGGCCAUUUUUUUUUAGAAAAUAAUACGAAAUAUUUUGGACUGGUAAAAAACUAUAUUCGACGUCUCCAAAACUGCCCCGUCCUGAUUGCUCAGCGGAGAGAAAUCACAAGCAGACGCGACGCAAUAAAAAUACACUCCCUGGUCCACAAUCAAUUGCGGGCACCAGCAUUUGAAAAAAUGAUUCGGUACGCAUGAUUCGCCGCAAAAUUAUCGGCGGAUCGCGAGGUUUUCAAUAACGUCAACGACAUUGCGUUUCCGGACGACGUUCACACCCAGAACUGUGAUUGCGGCCAAAGUGCCUUCGCGCGUUGCUCCUGGUGCAGAGAAUAUUUAUGUUUUGAAUGUUGCUAUGAUAGGUACCAUCCCGACGAAUGCGCUACAUAUCGUUGAAUUAAUCGGGAGAUAAUGUAAUAAUUAACAUAAAAAUUAAGCCACUCGCUGCUAUCCAUUUGUUAUUUCCAAAUAUUUUUGAACCCAAUACCCUGUAGCAUAAUUGUAAUGAUUGUAAUUUAAAUACAGCGUCCUUGUAUUUAUCAAUAAAAUAAGGAACGUUCGCGCAGCAUACUUUGACGAAGAAUUUGAGAAAAAAAAAAAAAAAAAUUUUGAUCAGGACUCAAGCGCGGAGCGUCACAUCUCGAAGCUGUCGCGUUAGCCGCUGCACCGCCGACACGCUUGAGGCGAUAGCG
Long non-coding RNA from Athalia rosae (coleseed sawfly), 5521 nucleotides. RefSeq lists it as uncharacterized. Lineage: Eukaryota; Metazoa; Arthropoda; Insecta; Hymenoptera; Athaliidae. The record is from RefSeq and is a predicted model, not a curated record. The transcript is spliced from 4 exons.